This 338-nucleotide long non-coding RNA is filed under the name Helianthus annuus (common sunflower). RNAcentral describes it as "sRNA HanXRQr2_Chr04g0176591". The record is from RNAcentral. Lineage: Eukaryota; Viridiplantae; Streptophyta; Magnoliopsida; Asterales; Asteraceae.
CAGGGGAAACAAGGGCAAACCCCUUGUUCUUGCAAAAUUCAUCAAAUUGACAAGGGAAAUCGAAGUUAAUCAGUUGCGUGCCUUCAAUUUUUCGAUUUUCUUAACAUACUCGGUAGAGUGGCGUGAAGGAAGAAAGCUCAAGUGCUAGGAAAUAGGAAAACGCACAAGACCGAGGUAAAUCUGCAACUUAGAUGCGAUGGCGAACUUGGAACGAACACACUCAACUCAUGCCCACUUAGCGCUUCCGAAGAUGUUUAGUUUUUUGUCCUUACAUUUUGGCAAAAACUUAGUUCGUAUGACAAUUUGUAUCUAGAUCUUUUAAACUUGUCCGUUUUUUG